Molecule: long non-coding RNA, 775 nt
Filed under: Citrus x clementina
Lineage: Eukaryota; Viridiplantae; Streptophyta; Magnoliopsida; Sapindales; Rutaceae
Description: Citrus clementina (C. clementina) long non-coding RNA (CCLE_LNC004924)
Source: RNAcentral
CGGGCAAAGCCGCGCCCAAAAAUAACCGCCCGAAGGCCGGGGCGCCAAGUUCGUCUAGCGGAAAAAGGCCACAAAAACGGGUGGGCUAUAGCCUUGGGGGGUGGGGCUGGCCAACUUCGUCCGCCGGACUCGGAAUGCCGCAAGACUUUGCGAGGGGCCUCCGUGUGCCAAAAAUAGGCCGCGGAUAAAGCCGCGCCCAAAAAUAACCGCCCGAAGGCCGGGGCGCCAAGUUCGUCCAGCGGAAAAAGGCCACAAAAACGGGUGGGCUAUAGCCUUCGGGGGUGGGGCUGGCCAACUUCGUCCGCCGGACUCGGAAUGCCGCGAGACUUUUUGAGGGGCCUCCGUGUGCCAAAAAUAGGCCACGGGCAAAGCUACGCCCAAAACUAACAACCCGAAGGCGGGGGCGCCAAUUUCGUCCUGCGGAAAAAGGCCACAAAAACGGGUGGGCUAUAGCCUUGGGGGGUGGGGCUGGCCAACUUCGUCCGCCGGACUCGGAAUACCGUGAGACUUUGCGAGGGGCCUCCGUGUGCCAAAAAUAGGCCGCGGGCAAAGCCGCGUCAAGAAAUAACCGCCCGAAGGCCGGGGCGCCAAGUUCGUCCAGCGGAAAAAGGCCACAAAAACGGGUGGGCUAUAGCCUUCGGGGGUGGGGCUGGCCAACUUCGUCCGCCGGACUCGGAAUGCCGCGAGACUUUUUGAGGGGCCUCCAUGUGCCAAAAAUAGGCCACGGGCAAAGCUACGGCCAAAAAUAACAACCCGAAGGCCGGGGCGCCAAUNN